AUUUUCUUUUCUCUUAACACCCAUUGACAUAUUUUUCUCCUGUUUUCUUUCUGAGUAUGUGUAACUUCAUUCCAUGCAUUUAUUUAUCUAUUUAAGAGCAUAUGAGGACAUGGACAACUGGAAUCAAGACAUAAAAUAAGUAUGUAUGCUUAUACACAUGAAAUAUUGAAUUGAUCUGCCAAUAAUCAGAGUCGAAUAAUCAACAUAGACAAACAGACAACAUAGAUAAAACUUUUACAUUUCACCUCUCCCACUCCAACUAUAGGAAAUAUCACAAACAAAUUGCAGUCAAAAGAUCUAACGCUAAAUAUUCAGUUAUCCACCAGUACUAACACUCAUUACUAUACCACUUAGGCUUCAACAAAGUAAAACCAUUAAAUUUAAUAAUGAAGAAAGAAGAUUCAAAGAUAUUAUGGACUUGUUUGGAGGAAGUAGGGUCAGGAAGUAGAACUUCCUAGGAGUUGCACCAACAAACAUUGUUAAAACUCAAGAAAAUAAGAAAAUUAUUUUACAAAUAAAAUAAAGUAAUAAGAUAAAUGAAAAAACAAACAUAAUUUGCUACCCAUCCAAUCUGAUCAUUGCCACCCCCCCACCCAAUGUUUCUUCCAUUCCCACCUUCCCCACCAUCUCAAAAUUCACCAACAUGCACCAAUACCAUUUGAUGUAGAGCAAGAAAAAACCAAAGAUCUAGAGAAACAAAUUCUCAAGAUUUAGGGAAGAGAAACAAUUUCUCUAGAGAACCAAUUCUUAAAAUUUUAUUUAAUUUCAAUUGUCAAUAAUGUCAACAUCGGUUAGUGGUCUUGG
Molecule: unclassified non-coding RNA, 804 nt
Filed under: Hevea brasiliensis (rubber tree)
Lineage: Eukaryota; Viridiplantae; Streptophyta; Magnoliopsida; Malpighiales; Euphorbiaceae
Source: RNAcentral